RNAcentral lists this ribosomal RNA (497 nucleotides) under uncultured bacterium. Its description in RNAcentral is "partial 16S ribosomal RNA". It matches the Rfam family "Bacterial small subunit ribosomal RNA", at positions 28 to 507 of the family's 1533-position model. The record is from RNAcentral.
GAUGAACGCUGGCGGCGUGCCUUAUACAUGCAAGUCGAGCGAACAGACGAGGAGCUUGCUCCUCUGACGUUAGCGGCGGACGGGUGAGUAACACGUGGAUAACCUACCUAUAAGACUGGGAUAACUUCGGGAAACCGGAUCUAAUACCGGAUAAUAUAUUGAACCGCAUGGUUCAAUGGUGAAAGACGGUUUUGCUGUCCCUUAUAGAUGGUUCCGGGCCGCAUUAGCUAGUUGGUAAGGUAACGGCCUACCAAGGCAACGAUGCGUAGCCGACCUGAGAGGGUGAUCGGCCACACUGGAACUGAGACACGGUCCAGACUCCUACGGGAGGCAGCAGUAGGGAAUCUUCCGCAAUGGGCGAAAGCUUGACGGAGCCACGCCGCGUGAGUGAUGUAGGUCUUCGGAUUGUAAAGCUCUGUUAUUAGGGAAGAAGAAAUGUGUAAGUAUCUAUGCACGUCUUGACGGUACCUAAUGAGAAAGCCACGGCUAACUACGUG